RNAcentral lists this ribosomal RNA (833 nucleotides) under uncultured crenarchaeote. RNAcentral's name for it is "bacterial SSU rRNA". It matches the Rfam family "Archaeal small subunit ribosomal RNA", at positions 88 to 922 of the family's 1478-position model. Lineage: Archaea; Thermoproteati; Thermoproteota. The record is from RNAcentral.
GCUCAGUAACGCGUAGUCAACCUACCCUAUGGACGGGGAUAACCUCGGGAAACUGAGAAUAAUACCCGAUAGAACAUUAUGCCUGGAAUGGUUUAUGUUUCAAAUAAUUUAUUGCCGUAGGAUGGGACUGCGGCCUAUCAGUUUGUUGGUGAGGUAAUGGCCCACCAAGACUAUUACAGGUACGGGCUCUGAGAGGAGUAGCCCGGAGAUGGGUACUGAGACACGGACCCAGGCCCUAUGGGGCGCAGCAGGCGAGAAAACUUUGCAAUGUGCGAAAGCACGACAAGGUUAAUCCGAGUGGUUUCUGCUAAAGGAACCUUUUGUCAGUCCUAGAAACACUGAUGAAUAAGGGGUGGGCAAGUUCUGGUGUCAGCCGCCGCGGUAAAACCAGCACCUCAAGUGGUCAGGAUGAUUAUUGGGCCUAAAGCAUCCGUAGCCUGCUUUGUUAGUUUUCGGUUAAAUCCAUACGCUCAACGUAUGGGCUGCCGGGAAUACUGCAAAGCUAGGGAGUGGGAGAGGUAGACGGUACUCGGUAGGAAGGGGUAAAAUCCUUUGAUCUAUUGAUGACCACCUGUGGCGAAGGCGGUCUACCAGAACACGUCCGACGGUGAGGGAUGAAAGCUGGGGGAGCAAACCGGAUUAGAUACCCGGGUAGUCCCAGCUGUAAACUAUGCAAACUCAGUGAUGCAUUGGCUUGAUGCCAAUGCAGUGCUGCAGGGAAGCCGUUAAGUUUGCCGCCUGGGAAGUACGUACGCAAGUAUGAAACUUAAAGGAAUUGGCGGGGGAGCACCACAAGGGGUGAAGCCUGCGGUUCAAUUGGAGUCAACGCCGGG